CAAGCACCGUGUUUGUCUGCUUUCACACGCUGUUUCACAAUCAUUGUUGGGUGAGGUGAGGAAUACGCGUCCAAUGUUCUGUUCUCUGAUUGGUUAUCGCGACCAGCAUAACCUAUAGGGCAGCCGCCAAUACUACAGUGCCCAUUAUGCAUUGCCAUUUCCCAUUUCUGGGGCCAUUUAAACAUAGAGCGACUCUGUCAUGUAAAUUGUUUAUUACGGUAAAUGAAUUGAGAAUCUACCGGUAUAUUUUUCAUUUAUAAGUCGCUCUGGAGUAUAGGUCGCACCCCCGGCCAAAACAUGUUUAAAAAAAAAAGUGUCACUUU
Thalassophryne amazonica is the source of this 323-nucleotide long non-coding RNA. RefSeq lists it as uncharacterized. NCBI's taxonomy places the organism in Eukaryota, Metazoa, Chordata, Actinopteri, Batrachoidiformes, Batrachoididae. The record is from RefSeq and is a predicted model, not a curated record. The transcript is spliced from 4 exons.